UUCUCUUAAUUGUUGGGAAACAAAUUACAGAAAAUUGUGAAUGCCAAAGAAAAAUAUAAGGAUAGCUACUGCAGAGAGGAAAAAAAUGUAAGGAUAGCUGAUACAAGGCAGAAAAUUGUGAAUGCCAAAAGGACAAUUACGAAAACCAGCGAGCAUGAUCGAGCCUCAAAGCAAUUGGCCAAGGCUAUAGGGAUGAGUGUUAGUAGUCUAGAUACAAAAUUGCGCAAUGGAGGUGAGUCAGGAGAAAGAAUUUUAUAAAGUUACUGGAGACUUGUUGUCAAUACUCGUGAUCAAGGCAAAAGAUUAAACUUAUAUUCAAUCCAGAGGGAGAAUAUAAUCUGUGAACAUAUGUUUAGUGGUGGAUGAGACAAGCUAUUACUGGGGCAAUAGCAAACAAGUAUAGGAUGAUCAGAUUACUGAAAUUGACAUCACUGCCCAUUGGGAUUCGUCGGCUCACUGCAUUACAACUCCUCAGAAUUACGUCAUGUGCCGAUGUGUAAUAUGAUAGAUGCCUGAAAGAAACGGGAAGAUUGGCCAAAGAUAGCUUGCAUCCCAUAUGUUUAUAUUGAACAACCUCUGUGGCAUACAACUAUACAAGCAAGAAACAGGGUGGAAGCAGCCGAAAGGGAGAUUACAAAAAUUAUCGAGCAUGAGCAGACACACAGAAAUUGGCCAAGGCUGCUGACAAGAUUUUGUGUACUGGAGACGAGUCGGGAGAGAUUAAGGUUACAACACCUGAUUCAGGUCACUAUACAUUUUAUUUUCCAUUUUUCUGCCUGCUUUAGAUUAAGACUCAAUUUCUUUCUUCCCAUGUUGCGGGAAGGAGCAGGGAUGUUCAUAUAAGUUGUGAACAUAUGUUUAGUGGUGGACGAGACAAGCUAUUACUAGGGCAAUUAGCAAACGAGUCGAAGAUUAUUAGAUUACGUGAAGUACAGCAAGCUGCUCAGAAAGCUUACGAUGUGGAAAGGGUUGAUGAGAUUGUAAAGAAAGCUUUAGCAGUGGCCAACAAAGGAGCCAAUGCAGCUAGAGAAGGCUGUCCAAACUCAAAUGCAUCACAGAAAGUCGGUUGAAGCGAAUGUGACUGAUUGAGCAGCAAGAUAGGUAUCCUCCAUUUUAUGGCUUCGAUAAUGUGUAAAUAGGCUUAGUUGGAGGUCUACAAGUGAAGGAUAUAGCUAAAGCGUUUGCGAUACUCUAGGAUUUUCUUCUCUGUGUAAGCAUUUAAAUGUAUUUUUAUGUGCAUUUGGCCUAAAUAAAUUGGCCAUCUAGACUUGCAACUUCAUCGGAAUCUUCAAACAGAGUCACUGUCUAUAUAUAUCAACUAUGGCUUUUAUGAGUAAUGUGGCCCUCAA
Long non-coding RNA from Cornus florida, 1349 nucleotides. RefSeq lists it as uncharacterized. NCBI's taxonomy places the organism in Eukaryota, Viridiplantae, Streptophyta, Magnoliopsida, Cornales, Cornaceae. The record is from RefSeq and is a predicted model, not a curated record. The transcript is spliced from 5 exons.